This 294-nucleotide ribosomal RNA is filed under the name Triticum aestivum (bread wheat). RNAcentral's name for it is "partial small subunit ribosomal RNA". The record is from RNAcentral. Lineage: Eukaryota; Viridiplantae; Streptophyta; Magnoliopsida; Poales; Poaceae.
GAGAGGCGAGGUUGGCCAAAUUGUGGCCUCUGCAAGCUUUGCAAUAGGGAACAAGAAACGGGUGCCCACCUUUUCUUCAAGUGUCGCUAUACGAUUCGGCUAUGGAAGUCUCUCAUUGAGUUGCUUGGUCUCGCGCACAUGGAUACGCCCGAGUGGCACAUGGACAAAUUCGUCUUCGAAUGAUGGGACAAAAGAACCGACAACCGUAACCCCAACCGGCAAGCUUUGGCCUCUCUCACCAUGCUUGUAUCAUGGACCAUUUGGAAGGAAAGAAACGCUCGGGUAUUUCUGUGA